RNAcentral lists this ribosomal RNA (456 nucleotides) under Streptococcus pneumoniae. RNAcentral describes it as "bacterial SSU rRNA". It matches the Rfam family "Bacterial small subunit ribosomal RNA", at positions 28 to 470 of the family's 1533-position model. Lineage: Bacteria; Bacillati; Bacillota; Bacilli; Lactobacillales; Streptococcaceae. The record is from RNAcentral.
GACGAACGCUGGCGGCGUGCCUAAUACAUGCAAGUAGAACGCUGAAGGAGGAGCUUGCUUCUCUGGAUGAGUUGCGAACGGGUGAGUAACGCGUAGGUAACCUGCCUGGUAGCGGGGGAUAACUAUUGGAAACGAUAGCUAAUACCGCAUAAGAGUGGAUGUUGCAUGACAUUUGCUUAAAAGGUGCACUUGCAUCACUACCAGAUGGACCUGCGUUGUAUUAGCUAGUUGGUGGGGUAACGGCUCACCAAGGCGACGAUACAUAGCCGACCUGAGAGGGUGAUCGGCCACACUGGGACUGAGACACGGCCCAGACUCCUACGGGAGGCAGCAGUAGGGAAUCUUCGGCAAUGGACGGAAGUCUGACCGAGCAACGCCGCGUGAGUGAAGAAGGUUUUCGGAUCGUAAAGCUCUGUUGUAAGAGAAGAACGAGUGUGAGAGUGGAAAGUUCACACU